RNAcentral lists this ribosomal RNA (490 nucleotides) under uncultured bacterium. RNAcentral's name for it is "partial 16S ribosomal RNA". It matches the Rfam family "Bacterial small subunit ribosomal RNA", at positions 28 to 507 of the family's 1533-position model. The record is from RNAcentral.
GAUGAACGCUAGCUACAGGCUUAACACAUGCAAGUCGCGGGGCAGCAUGGGGGUUGCUUGCAAUCCCCGAUGGCGACCGGCGCACGGGUGAGUAACGCGUAUCCAACCUGCCCUUCACCACGGGAUAACCCGGCGAAAGUCGGACUAAUACCGUAUGUUGUCCAUUGACGGCAUCCGAUUUGGACGAAAGGCUUGGCGGUGAGGGAUGGGGAUGCGUCCGAUUAGCCAGACGGCGGGGUAACGGCCCACCGUGGCUACGGUCGGUAGGGGUUCUGAGAGGAAGGUCCCCCACACUGGAACUGAGACACGGUCCAGACUCCUACGGGAGGCAGCAGUGAGGAAUAUUGGUCAAUGGGCGUAAGCCUGAACCAGCCAAGUAGCGUGCAGGAGGACGGCCCUAUGGGUUGUAAACUGCCUUUAUGCGGGGAUAAAGUGGCCCACGUGUGGGCUUUUGCAGGUACCGCAUGAAUAAGGACCGGCUAAUUCCGUG